GAUGAACGCUGGCGGCGUGCUUAACACAUGCAAGUCGAACGGGAAACUUUUCAUUGAAGCUUCGGCAGAUUUGGUCUGUUUCUAGUGGCGGACGGGUGAGUAACGCGUGGGUAACCUGCCUUAUACAGGGGGAUAACAACCAGAAAUGGUUGCUAAUACCGCAUAAGCGCACAGGAUCGCAUGGUCCGGUGUGAAAAACUCCGGUGGUAUAAGAUGGACCCGCGUUGGAUUAGCUAGUUGGCAGGGUAACGGCCUACCAAGGCAACGAUCCAUAGCCGGCCUGGGAGGGUGAACGGCCACAUUGGGACUGAGACACGGCCCAGACUCCUACGGGAGGCAGCAGUGGGGAAUAUUGCACAAUGGGGGAAACCCUGAUGCAGCGACGCCGCGUGAAGGAAGAAGUAUCUCGGUAUGUAAACUUCUAUCAGCAGGGGAGAUAGUGACGGUACCUGACUAAGAAGCCCCGGCUAACUACGUGCCAGCCGCCGCCGUAA
Molecule: ribosomal RNA, 494 nt
Filed under: uncultured bacterium
Lineage: Bacteria
Description: partial 16S ribosomal RNA
Rfam family: Bacterial small subunit ribosomal RNA
Source: RNAcentral